GGGUGACAAAGAGAUGUGGCUGUAGCCCAGGAAUAGUUAAGGAGGCAGACUAUUUUGCCAGGAUAUCUUGGCCUAACAGGGGAACUGACAAGAGGGGAUGAUUC
Long non-coding RNA from Sapajus apella (tufted capuchin), 104 nucleotides. RefSeq lists it as uncharacterized. Lineage: Eukaryota; Metazoa; Chordata; Mammalia; Primates; Cebidae. The record is from RefSeq and is a predicted model, not a curated record. The transcript has 3 exons.